Molecule: ribosomal RNA, 492 nt
Filed under: uncultured bacterium
Lineage: Bacteria
Description: partial 16S ribosomal RNA
Rfam family: Bacterial small subunit ribosomal RNA
Source: RNAcentral
AGUGAACGCUGGCGGUAGGCCUAACACAUGCAAGUCGAACGGCAGCACAGUAAGAGCUUGCUCUUACGGGUGGCGAGUGGCGGACGGGUGAGGAAUACAUCGGAAUCUACUUUUUCGUGGGGGAUAACGUAGGGAAACUUACGCUAAUACCGCAUACGACCUACGGGUGAAAGCAGGGGAUCUUCGGACCUUGCGCGAUUGAAUGAGCCGAUGUCGGAUUAGCUAGUUGGCGGGGUAAAGGCCCACCAAGGCGACGAUCCGUAGCUGGUCCGAGAGGAUGGUCAGCCACACUGGAACUGAGACACGGUCCAGACUCCUACGGGAGGCAGCAGUGGGGAAUAUUGGACAAUGGGCGCAAGCCUGAUCCAGCCAUACCGCGUGGGUGAAGAAGGCCUUCGGGUUGUAAAGCCCCUUUGUUGGGAAAGAAAAGCAGCAGGUUAAUACCCCGCUGUUCUGACGGUACCCAAAGAAUAAGCACCGGCUAACUUCGUG